Molecule: transfer RNA, 74 nt
Filed under: bacterium
Lineage: Bacteria
Description: tRNA-Gln
Rfam family: tRNA
About the family: Transfer RNA (tRNA) molecules are approximately 80 nucleotides in length. Their secondary structure includes four short double-helical elements and three loops (D, anti-codon, and T loops).
Source: RNAcentral
UGCGGGAUCGUCUAAUGGUAGGACUUCUCCCUCUGGAGGAGAGUAUCUUGGUUCGAGUCCAAGUCCCGCAGCCA